RNAcentral lists this long non-coding RNA (2575 nucleotides) under Nicotiana benthamiana. RNAcentral's name for it is "long non-coding RNA (NBEN_LNC030689)". The record is from RNAcentral. Lineage: Eukaryota; Viridiplantae; Streptophyta; Magnoliopsida; Solanales; Solanaceae.
GGCGACCUCUGAAUCCUCUCUUUCUCUCUUCUUUUUCAAACGCUAUCACAUCUUAGAGCACCGUCACUACAAAUUUCACCCAAUUCCCUUUGAUUCCCAAUCGGAUAUGGAAUCAUUUGGUGAUUUACUGCCAUAUACGACCUGAGACCUCUACUGGUUUUUCUAUUUUCAUGUUACUUGAUGGGAUCUCAAGGGAUUCGAACCACGUUUAGUUCAAAUCUAUCAUCUUUUCAAAUUAUCCGCCUAUAUUCAACCCUAUGUCUGUGAGUACUAUCACUUUCGUGUUUUCAUGACUUUCAAUCUCUGGUUCAAAUAAUAUUUUUCGCCUUUGUUCAUUUUUUAUAAAAACUUAGUUAUCUCUGGUUAAAUCCGUUAGAUCUUAUUAGAUCUGAAGAGUUUUGAGUUAUUUCCUUUAGAUUUAUCUCUUUUUAGUGUUAUUGUCAACCUAUUUAAUUUUUCCCUAAAAUCUAUGGUUCCGAUUUUUCUAAGAGAUUUCUGCAAAAUAUUUUAAACGUUUAGGCAUUUAUCAAACUUGGUUUUCCUCUUUGCUUCUUUCAACUGAUCUUUCUUGAGUUUCAUCUCUAUGACUUUACACCUUAGGGGUUUCAAUUAUCUGACUAUUGAUUAGAAUGUUUUACUCGGUUACCUAGCUCAGACAAUUAACGUGUUAAUUUAUUCACUUUACUAAUUAGGAUUUGAAAUUAUGUUACUCUUAUAAAAUUGAUAUUUCCUUAUAGGAUUUUUACCCUUUAUUUCCCUAUGUUGAUUAAUAAUUGGUACUCCCUCCCUUAAUUCCUCUACUCGUCUGAUUUCUGAUCUAUGGACUUACUACUUACCUUAUUUAAAGCCUAAAUCUUGUCUGUUGAUUUACUCUGUGUCAGAUUAUCUUUAAUUUAAGGAAUACUUACUUAAUUCUUUUUAUUAACUAAUUCUUGUUAGCCCUAAUUGAUGGACUAAUUUAUCUCUCUACCUUAUUUGUGUGUAAUUGAUUUCCUACCAUAUUUGUUUGCUUUACUGUAUGCUAUAAAAUCCUUUCAUUAUUUUGACACACAAACACACUCAGAAAUAAACAACACAUACACAUACACACACACAUACAAAAACAAUUGCUCUCAUUCAAACCUUUCUGUUACUUGUGUUAGCUACAUUGUCUAGCCGGUUGAAAGCCAAUUGUAAACUAUUGGAUUCUGCAUACUUUCAACUUCCUGUUUGCUAUUUCCUAACUGGCAUGUCUCCAUUCCUAUUAUCAUUCAAUAUGGUAUGGAGUUGAACCUAUGUGUUUUCCUAUUUAUUGCUCUUAAUAAAAUGACCACUAUUGUAUAGUUCACUCUUGUGUUUCCUGUUUCUUGCUCGCAAUUAGCAUGAUUACUAUUGUGUAUGAAUUUCCUUAUCAUUGCUUUAAAUUAGCAAGACUACUUCUGUUGCUAUGUCCUAUUCAGUAUGUUGUGGAAUCUGACUAUUGUAAAAUGUCAACCUGUCUUUGCCUGUGUUAUAUUUCUGACAACUAGCAUGCCAUUAACUCUCAUGAAAUUUUCUUGUUAAAUAGGUCAAUAUGGUUCACAUACUAGCAUGUUCUUCUUUGAUACAAGGUGCUUAUCUACUUGUUUUUCUCAACUAGCAUGCUUGCCAUAUUUUAUGUGUUCCUGACUUCUAUGUUCCAAACCCCUGCUACCUUUCUCUGUGUAGUUAUCUGUUUAUUAUUCUGUUCCCAGCAUACUAUCUAACCACCUAGUGAUGAUUAAUGAAUGAAGUCAAAUAUAAGCAAUGUGAAACUUUGUUUGAAGUGGUUAUGAUCCUAUUUCUGUCUACUGUUGAUUGCUGGAAUCUUUGUUUAAAUUCUAAGUGUUGAAAUAACUGUUUGUUCUUAUUUACUCCUAAAAUCCAAAUGUUUUCUUAAAACUAUCUCCUAUUUCAUGUAAUAUUUUCAACUCCUACUCUUAGAAUAUCUAUGGUCCUGACCCUCUAGUGUGAGCACUGCCUAGGAUUCCAUGAGACUGCUCUGAAUUCUGAUACACUUGGGCUGUUUUUUCCAAACUUUUUCACAAAACUUUUUCUUUAAAAGGGUUUUUGGUGUGAGCAUUUCCGGGGGUCCUUGAGGCCCUUGGGAACUUUGAUGCACCAGAAGCCAUUUGGUGUACUAUGAGAUACUGGCAUAUUUCAAACUUGGUUGAAGUCUUUGUUUCUAGGUUUACUUUUGGGCCUAUCUAGGCUCCAUAUAGUAUAGCAAUUUCAUUAUGUAAUUCAUUUAUAUUUGGUCUGUAAUAAUAAUUCCUGUAAAAUUAGAUAUUGGUGUUAUUAGUAAAACCGAGAAGGGAUUUUUAUAAAUAACUUUGUGGGCGAUCGGGUAGAAACCAUGUCUAUCGGACUAUUUUAUGAUAUUUAUUUGCAUUAGAAACCAUGUUCACAUGGUUUAUCUCAUUAUCUUGAAUUUUUAUCCUAGAAAUCAUGCUUCUAGGUCGUAUACCCAUUCUGCGGUAAUCAUAUCUUCAAAACCUCUAUGUGUGCAUUAGAAAUCAUGUUUUUGGAAUAUUUUGUUGCUCUCACUUGGCAAUUAGUUGACACCUUUAUUCGCCUA